RNAcentral lists this ribosomal RNA (460 nucleotides) under uncultured bacterium. RNAcentral's name for it is "partial 16S ribosomal RNA". It matches the Rfam family "Bacterial small subunit ribosomal RNA", at positions 338 to 795 of the family's 1533-position model. The record is from RNAcentral.
CCUACGGGAGGCAGCAGUGAGGAAUAUUGGUCAAUGGGCGCGAGCCUGAACCAGCCAAGUCGCGUGAGGGAUGACGGUCCUACGGGUUGUAAACCUCUUUUGCCGGGGAGCAAGCUUGCGUUCGUGAACCCUCUUCUAUGGUCCCCGUAGAAAAAGCCUCGGCUAACUCGGUGCCGGCGGCCGCGUUAAUACGGGGGAUGCGAGCGUUAUCGGGAUUUAUUGGGUUUAAAGGGUGCGUAGGCGGUCCUUUAAGUCAGCGGUAAAAUUGCGGGGCCAAACCCCGGCGAGCCGUUGAAACUGGCAGUCUUGAGUACAGUUGAGGUAGGCGGAAUUCGUGGUGUAGCGGUGAAAUGCUUAGAUAUCACGAAGAACCCCGAUUGCGAAGGCAGCUUACUAAACUGUGACUGACAUUGAUGCUCGAAAGUGUGGGUAUCAAACAGGAUUAGAUACCCGUGUAGUC